CUACCUCUGCAGUGGCAUCUCCCUGUUUUCCACACUUCACUCUACACCUCGUGUCACUGGUGUCCAGAUGCUGGGAGUAGGGCCUGCCAGAUUAAAUAAGAGAUGCCCCGUUAAAUGUAAUUUCAGCUCCAUAGUCCCUCAGUAUUCCUGUCAACACGUAAUACAGAAAUACUCACUGGGAAUAGUUACAGAAGCAAGAGCUCCCACCCAGCGUCUUCUAAACUUCUUCCUCUGGUUGAUGUACUGUAAGAGACUACAGGACAGGUAAGUCAGCAAGAGUAGGACAAGAAAUCUCUACUGUUACAGGGAUGCAAAGGCAUCCUAAAAUGAAAGCCGCCACAUUCUCACUUGAACCGCGGCCUGAGGAUGCUUUGUACAAGACAGCGAGCUCUCCCGCUCAGUCCCUGCUGCAAUGGGAAAGACACGAAAAAGGAAGGGACUUGUGCCUUGGGAGGUACGAGGCUCCUUUCGCAACUAUGAUUAGACAUUCUGAAGCACUUUAAUAUUAACAAAAAGCCCAAAGUAGGAUUUGCUAAACUCAACUGGCCGGUUGCUGAGUUGGCAUUAGAAUUUGCAGCCGUUUAGCUAAACUCUGUACCACGUGGCUUCAGCUCAGGGCUCACUAUUCUCCACUUCUUUCUUCUCAGCGCAGGACUUUCUCGUUUGCCUCACAGACCAUAACGGACCCCCUCGUGAGAGGGAACAAGCUAGCAAGGAACAGAAGGAGGAAUCCGACGGCUUUGCCCACUUUCCCAAACCAGAGCUGCUCUGGAAACCAAAACAAAGUGUUUUUUCUUACCUGUCGAUGACUAAGUUUCCGUCAUUGUUGCGGAUCCCUGCCCACAUGUCCCACAGCUCGCUCUCAGAGGGGCGGGUGUACGGCCCAAAGACUGGGGUGAGACUGAAAGAGCCCGAAAGAGCAGAAAGACACAGGUGCAUGUUAAAGAAUCCAGAAUGUUAAGUAUGACUGGAACCUCACGGGUCACAGAGUCUGACCCUUAACUGAUUUGUGAAUUUCUACUACCACUUCCCUGGCCAAUGGCCAACAUCUGUGUCUUAAAAUACCAAACCCUGGCCCGGAAUGUUAAUGGCAGCUUUUCACUACAUUGUUCCCGGGCUAUAGCGAAUCAGUAAUGACUCACCCUCGGGAGAAUACAAAGAAGUUCAUCAAUCGUGUCAGGAUGGGUGACAGCACGCCUCCAUCUUUGAGGAGCUGUAGGCAAAGAGAGUCAAUGAGAGAAAGCCAUGAGCAUCACUGAUAAAGGGAGAGACUCCCGUCCGAAUCUGCCCUUAUGGUAUUCAGGGGACAUCCGGAUAUUCAUGGACUUACUUACAAGUCAGGCUCAAUGGCACACAAGGAAAAAGAACCCUCUCCAAAAGAUUGAAGCAAAGGCUCAGUAAUUUCUAAGUGAAACCUGGCAUUACCAUCAAUUAAGAGUUUUUGGGGGGGCGCUAGGGUGGCUCAGCACCUGACUCUGGAUUUCAGCUCAGGUCAUGAUCUCACUGUUUGUGAGAUGGAGCUCUGCAUUGUCAACCACGGAGCCUGCUUGGGGUUCUCUUUCCAGAAUAAAUAAAAAUAAACAUUUUUUGAAAGAUUAAGAGUUUCUGGAACAAACCACAGGGUAUCAGAAGCGCCUGUGGUUUCAUCACAACUAUCUGCAUAACCCACUGCAGUUGCUGCAGCGAGUGCUCUCCUCACGACCAACCGUGGUUGUUGCUAGACCCACCCACAGAUCUUGCUGCGCGAUGCAUUUACAAAGAAACACGUGUUACUGUAACGCAGCUUUUUAUUAGCUGUUUGUCGACACGAGCAGUUUCUUUCGUGAUCCUAUUUGUUUUAUUUUCCAUGUUUAAAAACGUUCUGAGAAAGAGUCGACAAAUCUCAUUAGAGAUUUCGUGGUUCGUGGCAUAAGAAAGGUCAAGAUCCUCUGGUGUAAUUAUGUCUGCCUGCAAUAUCAUGAGAUUACUGUUUAGAUGUCGACCUGAUAUCUACAUGUGGCCCUUUGAGGCUACACCUCACUUUCCGCCCACCACCACGGCAGUUACCUCCAUUUGACAGACAGAGACUCUUUAUGGUAAGCCGACCAGAUCGAUUCUGCUUGAACCUAGAAAUGGGUGAGGGAAACACACAUCUAACUCAGUGGACACACACCAACGCAGCAGCUGAAGACAAACUCCCGAGAGGGAAAAGGACUAGAAAGAACCCAGGAACAAUUUAUUUUUCCCAGCACUUUAAACCAGCGAUACCUGUGAGCAGUACUGAAGUCUACGACCUCACUGACCUAUAGAGCAGCUCCUGAGCAACGAUAUCUCCAUAGUC
Molecule: long non-coding RNA, 2320 nt
Organism: Prionailurus viverrinus (fishing cat)
Lineage: Eukaryota; Metazoa; Chordata; Mammalia; Carnivora; Felidae
Exons: 3
Source: RefSeq, a predicted model, not a curated record